GUACUACUCCCUUCGUCCGGAAAAACAUGUUGGAAGAAUGGAUGUAUCUAGACGUAUUUUAGUUCUAGGUACAUUCAUUUUUAUGCAUUUCUCCGACAAGUAUUUCCGAACGGAGGGAGUAUUAU
Molecule: non-coding RNA, 125 nt
Organism: Triticum urartu
Lineage: Eukaryota; Viridiplantae; Streptophyta; Magnoliopsida; Poales; Poaceae
Source: Rfam